AUUGAACGCUGGCGGCAGGCUUAACACAUGCAAGUCGAGCGGGGGAAGGUAGCUUGCUACCGGACCUAGCGGCGGACGGGUGAGUAAUGCUUAGGAAUCUGCCUAUUAGUGGGGGACAACAUCUCGAAAGGGAUGCUAAUACCGCAUACGUCCUACGGGAGAAAGCAGGGGAUCUUCGGACCUUGCGCUAAUAGAUGAGCCUAAGUCGGAUUAGCUAGUUGGUGGGGUAAAGGCCUACCAAGGCGACGAUCUGUAGCGGGUCUGAGAGGAUGAUCCGCCACACUGGGACUGAGACACGGCCCAGACUCCUACGGGAGGCAGCAGUGGGGAAUAUUGGACAAUGGGGGGAACCCUGAUCCAGCCAUGCCGCGGGUGGGAAGAAGGCCUUAUGGUUGUAAAGCACGUUAAGCGAGGAGGAGGCUACUUUAGUUAAUACCUAGAGAUAGUGGACGGUACUCGCAGAAUAAGCACCGGCUAACUCUGUG
This 485-nucleotide ribosomal RNA is filed under the name uncultured bacterium. Its description in RNAcentral is "partial 16S ribosomal RNA". It matches the Rfam family "Bacterial small subunit ribosomal RNA", at positions 30 to 507 of the family's 1533-position model. The record is from RNAcentral.